CUGCUGAGGAGUCCCACAAUAGGACGAAACGGCCGUCCAGUGC
This 43-nucleotide non-coding RNA is filed under the name Schistosoma mattheei. The record is from RNAcentral. Lineage: Eukaryota; Metazoa; Platyhelminthes; Trematoda; Strigeidida; Schistosomatidae.